CCUACGGGAGGCUGCAGUGGGGAAUAUUGGGCAAUGGAGGAAACUCUGACCCAGCAACGCCGCGUGAAUGAUGAAGGUCUUCGGAUUGUAAAGUUCUUUUCUAAGGGAAGAAGAAAGUGACGGUACCUUAGGAAUAAGCCUCGGCUAACUACGUGCCAGCAGCCGCGGUAAUACGUAGGAGGCGAGCGUUAUCCGGAAUGACUGGGCGGAAAGGGUGUGUAGGUGGUUUGGCAAGUUAGUAGCGUAACUCCAAGGCUCAACCGUGGAACUACUACUAAAACUGUUGGACUUGAGUGCAGGAGGGGCAACCGGAAUUCCUAGUGUAGCGGUGGAAUGCGUAGAUAUUAGGAGGAACACCAGUGGCGAAGGCGGGUUGCUGGACUGUAACUGACACUGAGGCACGAAAGCGUGGGGAGCAAACAGGAUUAGAUACCCGAGUAGUC
Molecule: ribosomal RNA, 443 nt
Filed under: uncultured bacterium
Lineage: Bacteria
Description: partial 16S ribosomal RNA
Rfam family: Bacterial small subunit ribosomal RNA
Source: RNAcentral